RNAcentral lists this ribosomal RNA (253 nucleotides) under uncultured bacterium. Its description in RNAcentral is "partial 16S ribosomal RNA". It matches the Rfam family "Bacterial small subunit ribosomal RNA", at positions 524 to 776 of the family's 1533-position model. The record is from RNAcentral.
UACGAAGGGGGCUAGCGUUGCUCGGAAUUACUGGGCGUAAAGGGCGCGUAGGCGGAUAGUUUAGUCAGAGGUGAAAGCCCAGGGCUCAACCUUGGAAUUGCCUUUGAUACUGGCUGUCUUGAGUUCGGGAGAGGUGAGUGGAAUGCCGAGUGUAGAGGUGAAAUUCGUAGAUAUUCGGCGGAACACCAGUGGCGAAGGCGACUCACUGGCCCGAUACUGACGCUGAGGCGCGAAAGCGUGGGGAGCAAACGGG